Molecule: non-coding RNA, 798 nt
Organism: Hydra vulgaris (swiftwater hydra)
Lineage: Eukaryota; Metazoa; Cnidaria; Hydrozoa; Anthoathecata; Hydridae
Source: RefSeq, a predicted model, not a curated record
CCAAUUUUAACUUUAAAUAAUCUUCAUCAAAUCCAAUAUUUCAAUAUUAUAAAAACUAUAAAUCUAUGGAACAAUCUUUCUUGUCUAACCCGAAAUCAGAGAAAAAUGCUAAUAUAUAUAAUAUAGCAUUGCCACUAUUAGGUAUUUCACUGUCUAUUAGUUUUUCUCUGAUUUAGGGUUAGACCAGUAAAGUUGUUAAAUUGUUAAAUUUAUGUAUUUUAAAUUUAUUUAUUUACAUAGUUUAGUUAAGACUAUGCAAAAUUUAAUAAUUGUAAAUUUGUUUACACUUUCAAUAUUGUGUGUUGCUUCUCUUAAAUGAGAUAAAAACCCAAGGAUGCAAAAAACUUAAUAUAAAAUAGUGUGAAGAAGAAGUAGUAACUGAAAUGAACAGCAUAAUAGAAUUUGAUAAGUUUGACUCAGCACUUGACAAUGUUUCAUCUAGUAACUCUGUAGUAUCUCUGCAGUUAAACAAAGAGUUCAAAAUAUUGGUGGUAAGAACUGUCAAAAACUUGUGAUAGCUAUGAUGAAGAGUUUUAUAACAAAUUCACUCAUGGCCAAAUCUAAUAUGGCAGCUGGAAAAGGCAAAGAAUCUUUUUAGUCUAACCAAGCUAUACAACUUAAUAAAAGUUUGUGCAUCGACUUCUCACGAAUCAUACACAGAGUCGAUUGUCGAUGCAAUAAUUGCUGAUUCGUGAAAACGGGCAACUUUUGCUUGUCUUAAAGUGCCUUAAUUCCAUCGUUAUAAUAUUACUUUGUUUGUAAAUUGUUUUAAAAAAUAAAUUUAAAAAUAACUUUUAA